This 301-nucleotide ribosomal RNA is filed under the name uncultured bacterium. RNAcentral describes it as "partial 16S ribosomal RNA". It matches the Rfam family "Bacterial small subunit ribosomal RNA", at positions 509 to 807 of the family's 1533-position model. The record is from RNAcentral.
CAGUAGCCGCGGGAAUACAGAGGGUGCAAGCGUUAAUCGGAAUUACUGGGCGUAAAGCGCGCGUAGGUGGUUUGUUAAGUUGGAUGUGAAAUCCCCGGGCUCAACCUGGGAACUGCAUCCAAAACUGGCAAGCUAGAGUAUGGUAGAGGGUGGUGGAAUUUCCUGUGUAGCGGUGAAAUGCGUAGAUAUAGGAAGGAACACCAGUGGCGAAGGCGACCACCUGGACUGAUACUGACACUGAGGUGCGAAAGCGUGGGGAGCAAACAGGAUUAGAUACCCCGGUAGUCCCUGUCUCUUAUAC